Long non-coding RNA from Coffea eugenioides, 1078 nucleotides. RefSeq lists it as uncharacterized. The record is from RefSeq and is a predicted model, not a curated record. The transcript has 2 exons. NCBI's taxonomy places the organism in Eukaryota, Viridiplantae, Streptophyta, Magnoliopsida, Gentianales, Rubiaceae.
UCUGUCAGGUGCGGAGGCUACCUCACUAGAGUCGAUAGAUGCUUCCUCUAGCUCAGAAUUCUUCAUUUCGAGUUCAAACUUAACCAUCACAACUUCAAAGAACAUCUAUGACCUAGGGUUUUCAUUUAUAGAGAGCUCACCUUAUUUGGAUUCUUCUGCAUCAAUAAUGGGUGAAAGGUGUUUGCGAGAUGGAUUAGUCUCUUAACGGAGCGACUUACCCUUUGUCAACAAAGUUUGAGAGAUUAACCUCAUUGAUGGUACCAGCUGGAUGCUGUGGGUGGAAAUUUCUGCCAGAUUUGCUUGAGAGCUCCACUAACUUACAUUUUUUUCGAACUUUUUCAUGUCAGCUUAUGGCCCUCUUAUGUCGAGAGUGAAAGAGAAUCAUAGAAUGUAAAAGGAGUAAUUCUGUUAAGACUUUGAUUGUAUUUUUAGUGGAGAGUGUAUUGAAUAGUUGUUUUUGUUGUAAUUAGCUUUAGGAAUGUUGAGAAACACAUAGUGGAUGCUGGAGGGUUCCUAAGCAAGUUCCCAGUUGGUUGCUGUCAAGUCUCAGAGAAAUUUUUAUUCAAAAUUUUACUGGCCUCAAAGAUGAGCUUUCAACAGCAAGGUAUCUUCUGAAUCAUGGAAGAGCCCUCAAAAGAAUAAAGCUACAUUCUGGUCUACCUCCGGAUGACAUCAAGGAAAAGUUCCGCUUAAGAGGAUAUCAAUCUUCCCCAGAAAGUCAUCUACAUGUGUGAUUGAAUUUGCUUGAGAUGGCUUCAAUGAUCGUGGCCGUUGAGCUUUUCCCAUGGGUGAUGUAAUUAAGGCAGAAUCAAGGUUUAAUUUCUCGAUGUUAAAUGCAUUUGAAGUUGGGUGCACAAAUAUGUUCUGCUGUGCUGGUUAUUCAUUAAAGGAUACAAUCUAUGUGAAUAAAGUAUCUUGCUAUCAUUGUUUUGGCAAUGAGGAAUUUUGUUGGUCCUUUAUGUUUGAACUUUCUAUACGAACUCUUCUUUUGUGCUUUUCAACAAACAUUGUUCAUUUGGUGUUGUUUAUGACAUGAUUGUACAAGCUUUGAACUUUGCAUGGCAGUCUUGCUUCAUUA